This 500-nucleotide ribosomal RNA is filed under the name uncultured bacterium. RNAcentral describes it as "partial 16S ribosomal RNA". It matches the Rfam family "Bacterial small subunit ribosomal RNA", at positions 30 to 523 of the family's 1533-position model. The record is from RNAcentral.
AUUGAACGCUGGCGGCAUGCCUUACACAUGCAAGUCGAACGGCAGCACGGGAGCAAUCCUGGUGGCGAGUGGCGAACGGGUGAGUAAAGUAUCGGAACGUGCCCAGUCGUGGGGGAUAACGUAGCGAAAGUUACGCUAAUACCGCAUACGAUCUAUGGAUGAAAGCGGGGGAUCGCAAGACCUCGCGCGAUUGGAGCGGCCGAUAUCAGAUUAGGUAGUUGGUGGGGUAAAGGCUCACCAAGCCGACGAUCUGUAGCUGGUCUGAGAGGACGACCAGCCACACUGGGACUGGGACAGGGCCCGGAAUCCUCCGGAGGGCAGCAGUGGGGAAUUUUGGACAAUGGGGGCAAGCCUGAUCCAGCGAGGCCGCGUGCAGGAUGAAGGCCUUCGGGUUGUAAACUGCUUUUGUACGGAACGAAAAGGUUUGACUUAAUACGUUGGACUCAUGACGGUACCGUAAGAAUAAGCACCGGCUAACUACGUGCCAGCCGCCGCAGUAA